UACGUAGGGACCAAGCGUUGUCCGGAAUCAUUGGGCGUAAAGAGCGUGUAGGCGGCUUGUUAAGUCUUGCGUGAAAUCUCGGGGCUCAACCCCGAGCGGUCGUGAGAAACUGGCAGGCUAGAGUGCGGGAGAGGAGAGUGGAAUUCCUGGUGUAGCGGUGGAAAUGCGCAGAUAUCAGGAAGAACACCCGUGGCGAAGGCGGCUCUCUGGAACGCAACUGACGCUGAGACGCGAAAGCGUGGGGAGCAAACAGG
Molecule: ribosomal RNA, 254 nt
Filed under: uncultured bacterium
Lineage: Bacteria
Description: partial 16S ribosomal RNA
Rfam family: Bacterial small subunit ribosomal RNA
Source: RNAcentral